This 72-nucleotide non-coding RNA is filed under the name Rhodanobacter sp. MP7CTX1. Lineage: Bacteria; Pseudomonadati; Pseudomonadota; Gammaproteobacteria; Lysobacterales; Rhodanobacteraceae. The record is from RNAcentral.
UGGAGCCGUGUGCGGGGAAACUCGCAAGCACGGUUCUUAGGGAGGGGUGGGCCAGCAAUGGCCCAUCCCUAC